RNAcentral lists this small RNA (27 nucleotides) under Bombyx mori (domestic silkworm). RNAcentral describes it as "ovarian small RNA-33648". Lineage: Eukaryota; Metazoa; Arthropoda; Insecta; Lepidoptera; Bombycidae. The record is from RNAcentral.
UGCCAAAUAGUUGUUAAUAGAUGUCGC